AGGCAAAAGCUUGGCAUAUGCCUGAUAUGUUGUGGAUGAUGACUGACUGCCUCACAUAAAUCUUCUAAGUAGUUCUGCUGUGUGUGUGGAAAGCAUCGGAAUGCCCAUAUGCGAACCUUACAGAACUCCCACAUGGACAGAGAAGUACAUUAUAGGAGAACUUCUGCUCAAAUUCGGUGACGUCUUUCAGUUGAUUUUUGACAUUCGGGCAGUGAUGAAGAUACUAUUCUAACAAGUCACUUAAGGAAAAGUAGAAAUAAACAGUCAAAAAGUACUGUAGUAAAGGUUCAA
Brienomyrus brachyistius is the source of this 291-nucleotide long non-coding RNA. RefSeq lists it as uncharacterized. The transcript has 3 exons. NCBI's taxonomy places the organism in Eukaryota, Metazoa, Chordata, Actinopteri, Osteoglossiformes, Mormyridae. The record is from RefSeq and is a predicted model, not a curated record.